GGGGAUUAGUGGCGAACGGGUGAGUAACACGUGGGCAAUCUGCCCUGCACUCUGGGACAAGCCCUGGAAACGGGGUCUAAUACCGGAUACGACCAUCUUGGGCAUCCUUGGUGGUGGAAAGCUCCGGCGGUGCAGGAUGAGCCCGCGGCCUAUCAGCUUGUUGGUGAGGUAACGGCUCACCAAGGCGACGACGGGUAGCCGGCCUGAGAGGGCGACCGGCCACACUGGGACUGAGACACGGCCCAGACUCCUACGGGAGGCAGCAGUGGGGAAUAUUGCACAAUGGGCGAAAGCCUGAUGCAGCGACGCCGCGUGAGGGAUGACGGCCUUCGGGUUGUAAACCUCUUUCAGCAGGGAAGAAGCGAAAGUGACGGUACCUGCAGAAGAAGCGCCGGCUAACUACGUGCCA
This 409-nucleotide ribosomal RNA is filed under the name Streptomyces sp. PR6(2016). RNAcentral describes it as "bacterial SSU rRNA". It matches the Rfam family "Bacterial small subunit ribosomal RNA", at positions 87 to 510 of the family's 1533-position model. The record is from RNAcentral. Lineage: Bacteria; Bacillati; Actinomycetota; Actinomycetes; Kitasatosporales; Streptomycetaceae.